GUGCUCUCUUCCCCAGCACAUAUGCUAAACCUGGAAUGACACAGCGAGGAUCAGCAUGGCCCCUGCACAAGGAUGACCUGCACAUCUGUGAAGCGUUCAUAUUUUUU
RNAcentral lists this small nuclear RNA (107 nucleotides) under Moschus moschiferus (Siberian musk deer). Lineage: Eukaryota; Metazoa; Chordata; Mammalia; Artiodactyla; Moschidae. The record is from RNAcentral.